GAUGAACGCUGGCGGCGUGCCUAAUACAUGCAAGUCGAGCGAACAGACGAGGAGCUUGCUCCUCUGACGUUAGCGGCGGACGGGUGAGUAACACGUGGAUAACCUACCUAUAAGACUGGGAUAACUUCGGGAAACCGGAGCUAAUACCGGAUAAUAUAUUGAACCGCAUGGUUCAAUAGUGAAAGACGGUUUUGCUGUCACUUAUAGAUGGAUCCGCGCCGCAUUAGCUAGUUGGUAAGGUAACGGCUUACCAAGGCGACGAUGCGUAGCCGACCUGAGAGGGGGAUCGGCCACACUGGAACUGAGACACGGUCCAGACUCCUACGGGAGGCAGCAGUAGGGAAUCUUCGGCAAUGGGCGAAAGCCUGACGGAGCAACGCCGCGUGGGUGAUGAAGGUCUUCGGAUCGUAAAACUCUGUUAUUAGGGAAGAACAAAUGUGUAAGUAACUAUGCACGUCUUGACGGUACCUAAUCAGAAAGCCACGGCUAACUACGUG
RNAcentral lists this ribosomal RNA (497 nucleotides) under uncultured bacterium. Its description in RNAcentral is "partial 16S ribosomal RNA". It matches the Rfam family "Bacterial small subunit ribosomal RNA", at positions 28 to 507 of the family's 1533-position model. The record is from RNAcentral.